RNAcentral lists this ribosomal RNA (272 nucleotides) under uncultured Pseudomonas sp. RNAcentral describes it as "partial 16S ribosomal RNA". It matches the Rfam family "Bacterial small subunit ribosomal RNA", at positions 1109 to 1382 of the family's 1533-position model. Lineage: Bacteria; Pseudomonadati; Pseudomonadota; Gammaproteobacteria; Pseudomonadales; Pseudomonadaceae. The record is from RNAcentral.
CCUUAGUUACCAGCACGUUAUGGUGGGCACUCUAAGAGACUGCCGGUGCAAACCGGAGGAAGGUGGGGAUGACGUCAAGUCAUCAUGGCCCUUACGGCCUGGGCUACACACGUGCUACAAUGGUCGGUACAAAGGGUUGCCAAGCCGCGAGGUGGAGCUAAUCCCAUAAAACCGAUCGUAGUCCGGAUCGCAGUCUGCAACUCGACUGCGUGAAGUCGGAAUCGCUAGUAAUCGUGAAUCAGAAUGUCACGGUGAAUACGUUCCCGGGCCUU